Molecule: non-coding RNA, 72 nt
Organism: Danionella cerebrum
Lineage: Eukaryota; Metazoa; Chordata; Actinopteri; Cypriniformes; Danionidae
Source: the annotation of a GenBank genome assembly
GAUUAAGUGGUAUAGUGGUGAGCAUAGCUGCCUUCCAAGCAGUUGACCCAGGUUCGAUUCCCAUCCAACACA